Non-coding RNA from Rattus norvegicus (Norway rat), 7152 nucleotides. The record is from RefSeq and is a predicted model, not a curated record. NCBI's taxonomy places the organism in Eukaryota, Metazoa, Chordata, Mammalia, Rodentia, Muridae.
UUAUCGUCAGGAGGUUAAUCCUUACCUGUUCCUCCUCUCGGAGGGCAGAUAGAAAAUGAUGAUUGGAGCUUGCAUGAUCUGCUGAUUAGCAUUUCCGUGUAAUCAGGACCUGACAACAUCCUGAUUGCUCCUAUCUGAUUCUCUGACGAUCAUAUUUAUUUCGCAUGUACUGACUGAUAGAAUUUAGGAAUUUUGUCCUGUGCUCCUGAAAUUUCUCCUAACACUGGUCAGAGCCAUGACUUUAAGGUGCUUUUAGUAAUUGUGUAUAUGACUGACUGAUUGCUCAGACCUUAUUUCUAUGACAACAAGUGCCUUGCUGCUGAUUGUUUGCCCAGCUUCUAGAAAGCACUCUAGGCUCGGUGUGGGGAAAGCAACCUUGGCCCCUCCUCAUGCUUACCAGGAGAUCCUUUCUGAUGAGGCCUUAACCCUUAUGACCUAAAGCGUCUCUUGCCUUCAUCCCCACAUUUCAAUUCAAUGACCUCCUUACCGUAGGCAAAGCCCUAUUAACAAUACUGAGAAAAUAGAUGUGAUAUGACCUAUACUCAGCUUUGGGCAUAUAGAGACAUUUCCCAGCACUCCCAGACUUGUUUAAUCCUGUAAAUUGUGGUACAUGCUACCUCCCCUUCACCCCCCAAAAAAGAAAGAUUUUAGGAGUUUAGUAGCAAAGCUUGAAGUUGUAACUUGAGAGCCACCAAAAUGUUACAUAUGUCUCAGCUAUUGCUCAGAAACUUAACUACAGCUCUGUGAGAAGCCCACACCCACACCCUUGCAUGUGUCUUACUGAACUUGGAAAAAAUUACUUUUUCCGGGAGCUUUACUGACAGGUUGCCAAACAUAACUCUUAUUUAAAUUAAGCAGUGUGAACUUGCGAUUAAGCAGGUUAUAUUUACACUGGAGACACAGCUAGCUCACCAGUGAGUGUAUACUUGCUGUGCCUUGAGGCCCUCGGUGAAAUCCUCAGCAUUAAAAACUUAAAGAAGCCAGAACCGGUGAUCAUGUCCACAAUCUCAGCACUCAGCAUGCAGAGGCAGGAGCGCCACCCACAAGUGAAUUCCACCCAGCCAGGGCUGCAGAGUAAGACCCUUUUCCCCCAACAAAGCAAGAGGACCUUGCUGCCCCUUGUAAGGAUGGACAAAUUGGCCCAGCUCUUGAGGUCCCCGCUGCAUUCCUCCAGCAUCAAUGCUGUGAAGAGGGCGGUAGUUGAGCAGCUCAGGAUGGAGGCUGAGCCCAACCUGAGAAAUUCCCCAAGCAGCUGCAGGCUUGAAGCAGUUCUGUCAGCCGAACGCUGAGCACUAUCCUCUGUUAACCGAAUUGUCAAGUACAGAUCCCUUUGACCCCAGAACAUCUGCUCCUUUUUGUAGGCAAAUCUCUCAAAGCUUUCUCAAAACACUUUUAUAAGCAGUGAAUUUAAGAGAGCUGAGUGCGAAGCCUGUACAAAGUUUUCUUAUAACUGUCUCCUGGUUGUCAGUCCAUCUCAUCUACCUCGGAAAUGUCACUGGCUUCUGUUUCCCAAGGUUAUAUGUACACGGGCUGUAUGGCUUUAUAUACACAUACAGGCUCACUUCAGCAGCACAGAUACCAAAACUGGAGGACACAGAGGGUUCCGGUAGCCUCUGUGCAAGGGCAAUACAUUCCUCAAGCAUUCCUUACCUUUCAGUGACAUGUUCCUGUAAUUUAAAGACACUACAUACACAUGUGGUGGGAAGGUAGAUGUCUAAAACUUGGACAAUUAAAAAUAUCACAAUUAGGGGUUGGGGAUUUAGCUCAGUGGUAGAGCGCUUGCCUAGCAAGCGCAAGGCCCUGGGUCCGGUCCCCAGCUCCGAAAAAAAAGAAAAAGAAAAAGAAAAAGAAAAAAACCACAAUUAAACAUGAGCUGGCUCCCCUAAAAAAAUAAAAUAAGUAAAAAAUUUAAAAAGGUAAUAGAAGUCUGGAAGGAUAUCGCACAUCUUUAAUCCCAGUAUGGCUCUUUUUCAAAAAGAGAAAAGAAAGGAAGAAAGAAAGAGAAGAUCAGGCAAAGGUUACAUCAGUGUGGAUUAGUCCUAAGAUUGUUGGAACUGUGUUACAUUGAAAUCAGCAUAAUCCAUUCAACAAGAAGUCAUUCAGGUAACCCAGAAACCUCUACCUUCAUGGUUUGUGUCUUAUUCAUACAAAUACACAAAAGUGGCUAAUAAUUUCAUAGAACUUUUUGUUCUGUUUUUCAAGACAGGGAUUCGCUGUGUAAUCUUGGCUGUCCUGGAGCUAGUUCUAUAGACCAGAGUGGCCUCAAACUUACAGAAACCCACCUGCCUCUGCCUCACAAGUGCUGAGGUUAAAGAUGUGUGCCAAAAAUCAUCACAGAAUUUCAUAGAAUUUUAAAGAGAUUUGCCACACUCAGGAGGCAGAGGCAGGUGGAUCUUUGAAUUGGAGGCCAGCCUGUUCUACAGCAUGGCCAGUCUAGGAUAGCUAGGACUGCACAGUGAAACAAAAACAUAGAAUUUACACUAAAGAAUCUUAUAGAAGGCUGGAGAGAUAGUUCAAUGGUUAUGAGGAUCCAGGUUCAAAUCCCAGCACCUACACGGCAGCUUACUCCUGUUCCAGGGGAUCCAAUGCCCUGUUCUGUUCACCAUGACACUUGGCACUUACUGGGAGCACAGAUAUGCAUUCAGGCAAAUAACUCAUACAUGUAAAAUAAUAAAAAUAAAAUAAGAAUAUUGUAGGGUUGGAGUUAUAGCUUAGCUAUAGUCGUUUAACUAGCAUGACCAUAGGGUUGCUCCCGGGCACUGCCGCCCAUAGGAAGAAUAUACUAUUAUUUGUAUUGUGCACUAAAAUAUAUAAUAAACUUAUAUACAUAAGCGUGUACUUUCCAGGAGGGGUACCUGUAACCAUUCCGAGAAAAUUCCCAUUACCGACCACUUUUUGUACCCAAACCCAGAGUCACUUGUGUGGCUUUAGCUCUCUUCUUGGCUUGUUUGAUUACUGUCUCCUUGUCCUCUUCUUCCUCUCCUUGUCCUCUUCUUCCUCUUCCUCCUCCUUUUCCUCCUCUGGCAGGACUGAGGAUCGAACUCAAGACUUCAUAGCAUUUCCAGUCCCACUACCACCAGCAGCCCACCCCUUCUUUUCUUUUUGCUUUAAUACAAGAUCUCAUGUAUCCCGAACUGCCUGAUCUAGCUGUAUAGCGGAGAUGACUUUGAACAUCUGAUCCUCCAAUCUCUGACUCCCAAGCAUUGGAGUUAUGUGGAGGAUUGUUUAACCACCCUCAGCUUUUGUGGUGUUGGGGAUGAAACUUAAGGUCAAGUGCAUACUAGGCAAGCAUUCUCCCAACUGAAGUGUAUUCUUAGCCUCCCACCCCCAGUCACCUCUGUAGUCCUCAAACACCAACUAGAUGCUUUUGUUUUUCCUAUAACUGUGGAGCAGCAGUUCUGAACCCAGACAUUGCCCUGCCACCAAAAGUCAGUCACCCUCCUUCUGCCUCAGCCCCCUCAUUUAUACUUGCAAACAUCAGCUAUCUACAGCUCAACACCAGAGGACCUACCAGUUAGCAUCUGACAAAGACUUUCAUUUGCUGUGACGUUAGUGACUUUCUACCUGAGGACUACUUGUCAGGAUCUCUCUGUUAAGGAUCGAUGGCUGUCCCAGAACUUACUAUAUAGACUGGGCUGGCCUUGAACUCAACAGCUCUGCUGGCUUCUGCCUCCUGCUUGCUAGACUAAAGAUGUGUGCCAGCAUGCCUAGCUAUAGACCUCAGGGCACUCAAAAGCGGCUCUAAGGCUCGAGUCCUGAGGGUUCUCUCUCCUGCCAUUUUAUUCUAGAUCUGUAGUUGUCUGGCACCUUCAGUUCGGGUGUUAAGUCUGUUGUGGGUGUGUUUCCUGCGAGGCUGGGGGUUGGGCAUCACGCAGCUUGAGAAGCAGCUGUCUGGCUUCUGUUGAACUUGCUACUUCUCAGUAAUAAAUACUUUAUGGGGUGUGGAAGAGUGCUACAGCCACUUAUGAAAGGGCCAAACUGGUUAAUGUCAGCUCACAGACACUCUGGUGGGAUUUUAAGGAAGACUGAGAUGGUCCUCGUGGGGAGGGGGUAGAGGGACCAGAAUCCCAGCUCUCUGACAUCUCCUUAGGACCUUUGCCAGUGAGUUGACUUGGAUCAUGGGGCAUGUGCUGUUUUCCCCUGUUCAGCAUCCAUCCUUGUCCUAGUAAGAGGCUGGCACACCCCCAUCUCCUCAUUUUCUUUUUUCCUCAAGGGUAGCCAGACAGUCUAAACCUGGCCAAUAACAGCAUCCUAUCUUCCCUGCUCCAGUGAUUAAUUCAACCAUAAACCUUGGCAAGCCAGGACUUGUGCUGCAUAUUUGGGAAAGAGAAACUUAGGCUCUGUCUAAGGGUUUUACUGUUGUGAAGAGACACCAUGACCACGGGCAACUCUUAAAAAGGAAAACAUUUCCUUCUUUUCCGGUUCCCGCAGCCGCAGCCCUGAGCAGCAAAGUUUCACGCGACACCCUCUACGAGGCGGUGCGGGAAGUCCUGCACGGGAACCAGCGUAAGCGCCGCAAGUUUCUGGAGAGGGUGGAGCUGCAGAUCAGCCUGAAGAACUACGACCCUCAGAAGGACAAACGCUUCUCGGGCACCGUCAGGCUUAUGUCCACCCCUCGCCCCAAGUUCUCCGUGUGCGUCCUGGGGGACCAGCAGCACUGUGAUGAAGCCAAGGCCGUGGACAUCCCCCACAUGGACAUCGAGGCGCUCAAGAAGCUUAACAAGAACAAGAAGUUGGUCAAAAAGCUGGCCAAGGAGUAUGAUGCCUUUUUGGCCUCCGAGUCUCUGAUCAAGCAAAUCCCACGUAUCCUGGGCCCAGGCCUAAACAAGGCGGGCAAGUUCCCCUCCCUGCUGACACACAAUGAAAACAUGGUGGCGAAAGUGGAUGAGGUGAAAUCCACAAUCAAGUUCCAGAUGAAGAAGGUGCUGUGUCUGGCCGUUGCCGUCGGCCACGUGAAGAUGACCGAUGAUGAGCUGGUCUACAACAUCACCUGGCUGUCAACUUCUUGGUGUCUUUACUCAAGAAAAACUGGCAGAACAUCCGGGCUCUGUACAUCAAGAGCACCAGGGGCAAGCCCCAGCGUCUGUAUUAGGAUGCUCCAAUAAACCUCGGUGCUGCCAUCAAAAAAAAAAAAAAAAAAAAGGAAAACAUUUCGGGGUUGGGGAUUUAGCUCAGUGGUAGAGCGCUUGCCUAGGAAGCACAAGGCCCUGGGUUCAGUCCCCAGUUCCAAAAAAAAGAACCAAAAAAGGAAAACAUUUCACUGGGGCUGGGAUACAGAUUCAGAGGUUUAGUGCAAUUGAUAUAGUGAAAAGCACAGUGCAUGCUGGCAGAUAUGAUGUUGGAGAAAGAGCUGAGAGGUCUACAUUUUGAUCCUCAGGCAGCAAAAGGAGACUGAGAUACACUGGCCAGACUUGACUUUCUAAGACCUCAAAGCCCACCCCCACCAUGACACACUUCCUCCAACAAGGGCACACCUCCUAAUUGUACCACUUCCUGUGGACCAAACAUUCACAUACAUGAGUCUGUGGGGGCCAUUCCUAUUCAAACCGCCACAGACUCUGAUUUUAAAAAAUGCUAUGAAAUAAACUGGUUAAAACAGUGAGGAAGACGUGCACUAGAAAAUGGCUCAGAGGGCAAAGGCUGCUGCAGCCCUUGCAGAGGACCCAGGUUCUGGGGUCCAGUACCCACAUUAUGCAGCUCAAAACAACCUAUGACUCCAGCUAUAGGGGGACAUGAUACCUCUGGCCUCCAUGGGCACCAGCACUGUGGGCAUACACACACAGAGAGAGAGAGAGAGAGAGAGAGAGAGAGAGAGAGAGAGAGAGAGAGAGAGAGAAACUCAUAGUUAAAAAAAAAUAAGAAUGAGGGGUUGGGAUUUAGCUCAGUGGUAGAGCGCUUGCCUAGCAAGCACAAGGCCCUGGGUUCAGUCCUCAGCUCUGAAAAAAAAAAAGAAUGACCAGAAAUGUUAACACAUGUCUUUAGUCUCAGUACUCAGGAGGCAAAGGCAGGAAGGUCUCUGUGAGUUGGAAGACCAUCCUGGUCUGCAUAGCAAGCUCUAGGACAGCUGGUUACAUAAAGAAACCCUGUCUCGGGCUGGAGAGAUGGCUCAGCGGUUAAGAACACGGACUGCUCUUCCAGAGGUUCUGAGUUCAAAGCCCAGCAACCACAUGGUGGCUCACGACCAUCUGUAAUGGAAUCUGAUGCCCUCCUCUGGUGUGUCUGAAGAUAGCUACAGUGUACUCACAUAUAAUAAAUAAAUAAAUCUUUAAAAAAAAAAAAAAAGAAAAAGAAACCCUGUCUCAAAAAUAAGAUAGGUAAGUAGGUAGAUAGAUAGACAGACAGACAGACAGAUAGACAUUUUUAAAACAUAAAAAGCAGGUAACUCAGUGGUUAAAGGCACCUUCAGCCAAGCCUGAUGACCUGAGUUUAAUUGCUAGGACCCACAUAAAAGAAGUGAUAGGAUUUUUCCACCGAUGAUAUAAGCCAAUUCAAGCCAAACUAAAAUAUAAAGGCAGAUUUCUCAGGAGGGUUCACAUGUCCCAAGGAUGGGUCAGGGAAGUUGCCAUGCAGACAGAGAAAUGGGGGAGACUCUGGGGAACCGCUGGACUGGAAAGUCCAGGGAGGAGGUCAGGAUAUGCCAGGCGUGCCGUUACAGGUAGGGACCGAGGGAUGCUGGGAGAACUUUGAGGCCAGGUCUUCUUUGGUAUACAAAAUAUGCACCUCAACUGGCUUGUCCCUUCCUGUUGGGUCUAACCUCUGACCCCCACAUGUAUUGUUAGAUGUGUGCAAUGGUGCAUCCACACACAAAUGCAUGAAUAAAAUGUGACAAAUGCAAUAAAAGUGUAAAAGAAAAACAACCCCAAAAUACAGUGAAGUACAGUUUCAUGAUUAAACAGGCGAAUGCAGCACACACUAAAAUCUAGAAAGAGAACUAAAUAAGUAGGAUUUAGUGGAUACUAAGGAUGUUAUUUUAAAAAAUGAGUUGGCAGAAGCUACUGAUCCCUCUGGUUGAAUUAGGGAAAAGCUGGAGGAAGCUGAGGAGGAGGGCAACCCUGUAGGAGGACCAGCAGUCUCAAUUAACCUGGACUCCCGAGAUCUCUCAGACACUGAGUCACCAACCAGGCAGCAUUCACGAGCGAGAUGAGGCUCCCA